AGAAUCAACGCUGGCGGCGUGCCUAACACAUGCAAGUCGAACGAGAAAGUGGAGCAAUCCAUGAGUAAAGUGGCGACCGGGUGAGUAACACGUGACCAAUCUACCCUUGAGUGGGGGAUAACCUCGGGAAACCGGGGCUAAUACCGCAUAAUAUCCUUGGAACGGAAGUACUGGGGAUCAAAGGAGCAAUUCGCUUAAGGAGGAGGUCGCGGCUGAUUAGCUAGUUGGCGGGGUAAUGGCCCACCAAGGCAAAGAUCGGUAGCCGGCCUGAGAGGGCGCACGGCCACACUGGAACUGAAACACGGUCCAGACUCCUACGGGAGGCAGCAGUGGGGAAUUUUUGCGCAAUGGGGGAAACCCUGACGCAGCAACGCCGCGUGGAGGAUGAAGUCCCUUGGGACGUAAACUCCUUUCGACCCGGACGAUAAUGACGGUACGGGUGGAAGAAGCCCCGGCUAACUUCGUGCCAGCAGCCGC
RNAcentral lists this ribosomal RNA (477 nucleotides) under uncultured bacterium. RNAcentral's name for it is "SSU rRNA". It matches the Rfam family "Bacterial small subunit ribosomal RNA", at positions 26 to 518 of the family's 1533-position model. The record is from RNAcentral.